GCAGUAUCCUAACUGUGCUAAGGUAGCAUAAUCAUUAGUCUUUUAAUUGAAGACUGGUAUGAAUGGCUAAACGAGAAAUUGACUUUUUUUGUUAUAAAAAUUGAACUUAAUUUUUUAGUGAAAAAGCUAAAAUUUUUCAGAAAGACGAGAAGACCCUAUAGAGUUUUAUAUUUUUUAGAAUUUAAUUUAAGUUGGUUUAUAUAAAUUAAAUCUGUAAAAAUUAUUUUGUUGGGGCGACAUUUAGAUAUAAAAAACUCUUUAUAUUAAAAAUUUUUAUAGAAAAAAUAUUGAUCCUUUAAAAAAGAUCAAAAGAAAAAAUUACCUUAGGGAUAACAGCGUAAUCUUUUUUGAGAGUUCUAAUCGACAAAAAGGUUUGCGACCUCGAUGUUGGACUAAAAUUUAGGCAGGGUGCAGAAGUUCUGCUUUUAGGUCUGUUCGACCUAUA
This 445-nucleotide ribosomal RNA is filed under the name Wanella sp. 1 MM-2014. RNAcentral's name for it is "partial 16S ribosomal RNA". It matches the Rfam family "Bacterial large subunit ribosomal RNA", at positions 1933 to 2590 of the family's 2925-position model. Lineage: Eukaryota; Metazoa; Arthropoda; Thecostraca; Balanomorpha; Balanidae. The record is from RNAcentral.